This 490-nucleotide ribosomal RNA is filed under the name uncultured bacterium. RNAcentral describes it as "bacterial SSU rRNA". It matches the Rfam family "Bacterial small subunit ribosomal RNA", at positions 8 to 518 of the family's 1533-position model. The record is from RNAcentral.
AGAGUUUGAUUAUGGCUCAGGAUAACGCUGGCGGCAUGCCUAAUACAUGCAAGUCGAAUGGUUAGCUUGCUAGACCAUGGCGAACGGGUGAGUAACACGUAGGUAACCUACCUUAAGGACGAGGAUAACCUUUGGAAACGAAGGAUAAUACUGGAUAGGACAUUAUAAAGCACAUGCUUAAAUGUUUAAAGGAGCAAUCCACCAUAAGAGGGGCCUGCGGCGCAUUAGCUAGUUGGUGAGGUAAAGGCCCACCAAGGCGAUGAUGCGUAGCUGGACUGAGAGGUUGAACAGCCACAAUGGGACUGAGAACGGCCCAUACUCCUACGGGAGGCAGCAGUAGGGAAUUUUCGGCAAUGGGCAAAAGCCUGACCGAGCAAUGCCGCGUGAUCGAAGAAGUAUUUCGGUAUGUAAAGAUCUUUUAUCGGGGAAGAAAAGACAGAUUGACUGAACCUGAUGAAUAAGCUCCGGCUAACUACGUGCCAGCAGCGGC